AAGAUUGUGCUUUCAGGGACCAUCUCUAUAGUCUCUUGCUAGAGAAACAUCUGUGAACAUGUAGAGUACCUAAAACCAGGAGGCUGAGAUGUGGUGUUGUUCUCUCGCAGGCACAGAGCAAGCCCUUUGUGAGGCUAUGCUGCACCAGUCUUCUGCCAUCGAUGAUCCUUCUUCAUCCCCCUGGGAGAGUUAGAGAAAACACAACAUGAAAGGC
Small nucleolar RNA from Acomys russatus (golden spiny mouse), 214 nucleotides. RefSeq annotates it as small nucleolar RNA U3. The transcript has a single exon. The record is from RefSeq and is a predicted model, not a curated record. NCBI's taxonomy places the organism in Eukaryota, Metazoa, Chordata, Mammalia, Rodentia, Muridae.